CCAGAUCGCGCAGCGCACGGCAGCAGCACAACCUUCACUUGGUCGCGCCACCACCGUGCCUACUGCUCCGCUUCUCUCCACGCCGCCAGCCCCAUUUCCGGUUAGUCGCAUUCCGGCAACACUAUAAAAUUGGGUAUUAGGAAGUUGCCGAUCCAACGGAAGCUCUACAAUCUUCUCCGUAGAGUUAUAAAUGUAAACUUUAUAUUUCUGUUAUUUAAAUUUGGAUGUAGUAAUUAUUCUAUUAUUUGAUUAUUAUUGAACUCCGCAGUUAUAGGAUUGUGUAUUUUAAUUAGGCUUGCCGUAUGCGUUCUUUUGGAAUGACAUGUUAUAUAUUAGACGUAGGCAUUUUAGUAUACCCAUAUUCUGAAUAUGACUUAUCAUGAUUAGGCCCAAAUUAAACUUCAAUUGAGAUAUUUAAAUUUUGGGCCAGAUUGUAUAAUAAUUAUAUUUAAACCCUACUGGUAUGGGCUUACUGUUAUUA
Non-coding RNA from Jatropha curcas, 481 nucleotides. NCBI's taxonomy places the organism in Eukaryota, Viridiplantae, Streptophyta, Magnoliopsida, Malpighiales, Euphorbiaceae. The record is from RefSeq and is a predicted model, not a curated record.